This 822-nucleotide long non-coding RNA is filed under the name Glycine max (soybean). RNAcentral describes it as "long non-coding RNA (GMAX_LNC004465)". Lineage: Eukaryota; Viridiplantae; Streptophyta; Magnoliopsida; Fabales; Fabaceae. The record is from RNAcentral.
AGAAAAAAAAACAUAGGAAUCUUCACAAAAACAAAAAGGAAACUGAGAGAACACUCCGACACCGAGGCAAGUUUCACUAAGUUUCGCACGAACAAAGAAAGACAGGGAAAAAUUGACAGGGAGGGAAUGUGAAGAGAGCAACAGUUUUGUGUCUGGAAAAUUAUUGAAUCUGAAGUUCAUAGAGAAAAAAUGAUAAAUAAUAAUUUGUUUACAGGCAAGGUUCUGAUGACUUUCAAUUUCAACGAAAGAAGGGUGUAAAUGAAACAAGUUCCAGCCUUUGAUGCCUUUCAACACAAACAACAGACUGUUAAACAAAUGACCUCAGCCAGACAAAUCAAAUGAAAUUAAGUUUGUUCAUGCUAAAAGUUUGCUAUAGGAUAUGUUUUAACUUAAUAAAUUCAUGAUUGAAUCUCUUAUUUACUCCUAUUCUAUUAAUUAUCAUCACUCAUAAUUCCCUAAGUUAGCCACGUGCAAUCUAUUAAAAUGCCUCUUCAAGUGGGCCCUUUUCAUCCCUGCAAAUACUGAAGAGGCUAAGAAACUCUAAAUAGAUCAGUAAAGGGAUCAAGUAGCUCAACCAUACGAAAUAAUUUUACCAAUAAAAAAAUACUUUGAAAGAUAAGUAACCAGACAAAUAGUACUAGACAAAAAAAACUAAACACAUUCAAAACAUUUCAUACCCUGAUAACGAACGGGACCUUGACCUUGAGCGAGAACGAGAGGGAGAUCUUGAUGGAGAUUUAGCAGGUGAACGCUGUGAAGACUUUCCUUUUGGAGAUUUAGCAGGUGAACGCUGUGAAGACUUUCCUUUUGGAGAUUUGCUGC